UGCUCUUCCGCCAUGAUUGUGAGGUCUCUCCAGCCACGUGGAACUUUUUCAUCAGCUUUUCAUGUUUCACUGGGGAGUGCAUCCUGAGAGGUCGUCACACUAUCAUCUUGGAAGUGAAUCUCUUACAUUUCAGUUUUAAAGGGAAAAACAACAUGAACUGUUCGUCUAUCUAUAUCGUCAUUAUUUUUUACCUCAUGGAUUGAAACAAAUUUUAAAGGAAAAAAGAAUGUUAAGAAAGAGCAGCACUUACUAUCAGGGAGGCACCUCACGAGCAUUGUAAACACUCAGGCUCGCUGCUUUCUGAAGGACAUGCCAAUCAUGCACAGCACUUACUAGAAACUGCAAGACUGCACAACAUGAUGGUAUUUAUUCCAGGAACAGGAGCCAGUCCUGGGCACACACAUAAAGGGACUUCCUUCACUCCCCAGAAGAAGAGAAAGCAUGCUGACACACAUCUGCCCAAGCAAUCAGAAGGCAGCUAAAGCCGCCACAGUCUUCACUCACCAACAGUUAGACCUUUUCAAUUGAUUUUAUUGAAGAAAGUGAGUGCUGAGCACCAUGAGUUCUCAUAAACAAUCCAUUUUGGCAAAUGCUUUAAGAAUGUUGGUUAAUUGCAGUUAGGCAGCAUCGACGUAUUUUAUUUUUUGGAAAGCAAGAAGCUGGCUUACCAACAUUAAGUUAAACAACAUGUAAGGGUUAGAAAUAUGAAUCAACAAACUAUUAGGGUGGUACCAUCUCUUUAUAAUAAAACAAUGUAGAUUGAUUAAGUAUAGCCUAAAAGUUUACCACAAAUCAUAACUACAUUUAAGCUUUGAAUUUCAUGACUAGUGAUUAAUUUUGCAUGUCAACUUGACUGAGCUUAUAGAAUGCCCAGGUAUCUGAUUAAACGUUAUUUCUGGAGGUGUCUGUGAGGGUGUUUCUGUAAGAGAUUAGCAUCUGAAGGCCAGGUGUGGUGGCUCAUGCCUGUAAUCCUAGUACUUUGGGAGGCCGAGGUGGGCAGAUUGCCUGAGCUCAGGAGUCUGAGACCAGCCUGGGCAACAUGGCAAAACACCGUCUGUACUAAAAAAUACAAAGUUUAGCCGGAUGUGGUGGCACACACCUGUAGUCCCAGCUACUAGGGAGGCUAAGGCAUGAGAAUUUCCUGAGCCUGCGAGGCGGAGGUUGUGGUAAGCCAAGAUUGUACUCCAGCCUGGGUGAUAAAGUGAGACCCUAUCUCAUAAAAAACAAAAAAACAAAAAAGAAAAAAGGAGAAGAAAGAGACACAGAUUAGCAUUUGAAUGGGUGGACUGAGUAAAGCAGAUGGCCCUCGUCAGUGUUGGUGGGAAUUGUCCUAUCCAUUGAGGGCUUAAAUGAAACAAAGACUGAGGAAGGCUGAAUUCAAUCUCUGCUGACUGCUGGGGCUGAGACAUCAAUCUUCUCCGGCUCUCAGUGCUCUUCCAGACUCAGACUGGAAUGUACACUAUCAGCUCUCCAGUUCUCAGGCCUUCAAAUUACACCUCUGGCUUUCCUGGGUCUCCAGCUUGCAGAUGGCAGAUCGUGGGACUUCAUGGGACUUCUCAGACUCCAUAACCAAGGCUGAGGAGCUACAGUCUAAAUGCAUACGCAUGUUGGGAACCGAAGUCAGCCAUCUUCCCUAGGACAAAUCUUUACUCUUCUAAAGAAGGACAAGAAUAAGGUCUACUUUCAGCUAACCAUUUAUAAGGUUCAGUUUUCAUUGGAUCAAAGGAAUAUAAUCUAAUACUUUUUAAAUGGGGUCAAAACAGUAUUAUAAGGAAAAUAUUUACUGCAAAUAUUUAUAAUUGUGUAAGGAGAAUCAUUCUUUUUAAAAUCAAGUUGUGUUUUAGCUUUAGAAUCUUUUAAAAUCACAAGUAUUUGAGAAUCCAUCCCCACAAAAAUUAAAAAAUACUAUAUUAGUUAUUUUAAACAGUAUUCAUUACUUUUACUGUUUAUGUUAUAAUAAACUUAUGUAUAUAAACAUUUGAAUAUGCAUGGUACAAAGUACAAGUACAGAACAUGUAGUAAGUAGUAUGUGCAUGUAUGUGUGUGUGUGCAUAUCGUAUAAAAAUAUGAGAAAAAUUUUACUUAUAUAAAAACAUAUAUAUAAAUAAGUGUUCAGGAGAGUUUUUGAGAAUCUGCUUUACAUACUGCAAUUUUGAGUGAAAAUUAUGGAUAUUAAUUUCCUGAUUAAAGGAACUGUGUCUUCUCAUGAUGAGUCCUAAAAAUAAGCCAAAAUACUACUUAAUCUCCAUCACUUUUUUUCUUAAUUACUGGCUGACUUUUUUUCUGCGUGAAAUGGCAUUACAAUGGCAGGGAAAUUUAAUAAUGCAAAAAUCACUUUUGAAAAUGAGAAAGAAUAAUUCUAGUUACCUUUUAAAUUGAUACUUUUAAAGAGAAAUUCAAAUCAAAAAUAAAUAAAUUAAAGUCUGAGACCAAUUUGCCACUGUGAAUAUAAGCACAUUAACCCCAGGAAGAGCCAAGAACUACACAAACCUCUCUAUGAGAAUUUACCAGUCUUCUUUCAUUUGGCAAGAAAAAGCUCAGGAAAAUUUGCUUGUUUAAAUUCUAUGAGCCUAGUCUAUGGGGAAAAAAAAAAUAGGAAUAUGAAAGAAAUUCUUACCUCCAGCAACAUAUCAUAGGGAGAGAUGUGGACAAAUGAACAAUAUUUACUGGAAAUAGGAAUUAUAAAUCAAAUUUUGAAAACCCUAUGCUAAGGAAGGAAGGAGUUAUUAUAAAUUCACUCAGAGACCCAAACGUUAGGUUCAGCUAAAGAAAUGUCAGUCUUGGAUAUAUAUUAAAUGUUUUCAAGAGCAAAAUUGAAAUUACUGAAUUGGAAAUGCUCCAAAUUAUAGGUCAUCAUUUCUACUUUGGACAAUUUUUUAUGAAU
Molecule: long non-coding RNA, 2884 nt
Filed under: Homo sapiens (human)
Lineage: Eukaryota; Metazoa; Chordata; Mammalia; Primates; Hominidae
Description: PREDICTED lncRNA (TCONS_00203002)
Source: RNAcentral